GAUGAACGCUGGCGGCGUGCUUAACACAUGCAAGUCGAACGGUGAAGGCGGAGCUUGCUCUGCUGGAUCAGUGGCGAACGGGUGAGUAACACGUGAGCAAUCUGCCCCUGACUCUGGGAUAAGCGCUGGAAACGGCGUCUAAUACUGGAUACGAGCUGCGAAGGCAUCUUCAGCAGCUGGAAAUAAAUGCGGGCAGGGAUGAGCUCGCGGCCUAUCAGCUUGUUGGUGAGGUAAUGGCUCACCAAGGCGUAGACGGGUAGCCGGCCUGGGAGGGUGACCGGCGACCAUGGGACUGCGGCACGGCCCAGACUCCUACGGGGGGCAGCGGUGGGGAAUAUUGCACAGUGGGCGCACGCCUGUUGCAGAAACGCCGCGUGUGGGAAGCCGGCCUUCGGGUUGUAAACCUCUUUUAGCAGGGAAGAAGCGAAAGUGACGGUACCUGCAGAAAAAGCGCCGGCUAACUACGUG
RNAcentral lists this ribosomal RNA (468 nucleotides) under uncultured bacterium. RNAcentral's name for it is "partial 16S ribosomal RNA". It matches the Rfam family "Bacterial small subunit ribosomal RNA", at positions 28 to 507 of the family's 1533-position model. The record is from RNAcentral.